RNAcentral lists this ribosomal RNA (621 nucleotides) under uncultured bacterium. Its description in RNAcentral is "bacterial SSU rRNA". It matches the Rfam family "Bacterial small subunit ribosomal RNA", at positions 117 to 736 of the family's 1533-position model. The record is from RNAcentral.
GUAUGCAAUCUACCUUUCACAGAGGGAUAGCCCAGAGAAAUUUGGAUUAAUACCUCAUAGUAUAGUACCUUGGCAUCAAGGAACUAUUAAAGAUUUAUCGGUGAAAGAUGAGCAUGCGUCCCAUUAGCUAGAUGGUAAGGUAACGGCUUACCAUGGCUACGAUGGGUAGGGGUCCUGAGAGGGAGAUCCCCCACACUGGUACUGAGACACGGACCAGACUCCUACGGGAGGCAGCAGUGAGGAAUAUUGGUCAAUGGGCGCAAGCCUGAUCCAGCCAUGCCGCGUGCAGGAAGAAGGUCCUAUGGAUUGUAAACUGCUUUUAUACAGGAAGAAACACCUCUACGUGUAGAGACUUGACGGUACUGUAUGAAUAAGGACCGGCUAACUCCGUGCCAGCAGCCGCGGUAAUACGGAGGGUCCAAGCGUUAUCCGGAAUCAUUGGGUUUAAAGGGUCCGUAGGCGGCCAAAUAAGUCAGUGGUGAAAGCCCAUCGCUCAACGAUGGAACGGCCAUUGAUACUGUUUGGCUUGAAUUAUUAGGAAGUAACUAGAAUAUGUAGUGUAGCGGUGAAAUGCUUAGAGAUUACAUGGAAUACCAAUUGCGAAGGCAGGUUACUACUAAU